UUAAGUGAAUAAGGGCGCACGGUGGAUGCCUUGGCACUAGGAGCCGAUGAAGGACGGGACUAACACCGAUAUGCUUUGGGGAGCUGUAAGUAAGCUAUGAUCCAGAGAUUUCCGAAUGGGGGAACCCAGCAUCUUUUAUAGGAUGUUACGUCUGCGUGAAUACAUAGCGCAGUCGAGGUAGACGCAGAGAACUGAAACAUCUAAGUACCUGCAGGAAGAGAAAGAAAAUUCGAUUCCCUGAGUAGCGGCGAGCGAAACGGGAAAAGCCCAAACCAACAAGCUUGCUUGUUGGGGUUGUAGGACUCCGAUAUGGUAGUCUAUUCAGAUAGUCGAAAUACUUGGAAAAGUAUGUCAAAGAGGGUAAAAACCCCGUAGGCGAAAUUUGGAUAACACCUAGGAGGAUCCUGAGUACGGCGGAACACGAGGAAUUCCGUCGGAAUCCGGGAGGACCAUCUCCCAAGGCUAAAUACUCCCUAGUGACCGAUAGUGAACCAGUACCGUGAGGGAAAGGUGAAAAGCACCCCGGAAGGGGAGUGAAAUAGAUCCUGAAACCGUGUGCCUACAACAAGUUAGAGCCCGUUAAUGGGUGAUAGCGUGCCUUUUGUAGAAUGAACCGGCGAGUUACGAUAGCAUGCGAGGUUAAGUUGAAGAGACGGAGCCGUAGCGAAAGCGAGUCUGAAUAGGGCGAAUGAGUAUGUUGUUGUAGACCCGAAACCAUGUGAUCUACCCAUGUCCAGGUUGAAGGUGCGGUAAAACGCACUGGAGGACCGAACCCACGUACGUUGAAAAGUGCGGGGAUGAGGUGUGGGUAGCGGAGAAAUUCCAAACGAACUUGGAGAUAGCUGGUUCUCUCCGAAAUAGCUUUAGGGCUAGCCUCGGAAUUGAGAAUGAUGGAGGUAGAGCACUGUUUGGACUAGGGGCCCAUCUCGGGUUACCGAAUUCAGAUAAACUCCGAAUGCCAUUCAUUCAUAUCCGGGAGUCAGACUGUGAGUGAUAAGAUCCAUAGUCGAAAGGGAAACAGCCCAGACCACCAGCUAAGGUCCCCAAAUAACUAUUAAGUGGAAAAGGAUGUGGGGUUGCACAGACAACUAGGAUGUUGGCUUAGAAGCAGCCACCAUUUAAAGAGUGCGUAAUAGCUCACUAGUCGAGUGACCCUGCGCCGAAAAUGUACCGGGGCUAAAUAGUUUACCGAAGCUGUGGAGUGCACCAUUAGGUGCAUUGGUAGGAGAGCGUUCUAAGGGCGUUGAAGGCAGAUCGUGAGGACUGCUGGAGCGCUUAGAAGUGAGAAUGCCGGUAUGAGUAGCGAAAGACAGGUGAGAAUCCUGUCCACCGAAUGACUAAGGUUUCCUGGGGAAGGCUCGUCCGCCCAGGGUUAGUCGGGACCUAAGCCGAGGCCGACAGGCGUAGGCGAUGGACAACAGGUUGAUAUUCCUGUACCCGUUGUUUUUGUUUGAGCAAUGGAGGGACGCAGGAGGCUAAGAAGUGCAGACUGAUGGAUAUGUCUGUUCAAGCAGUAAGUCUUGGUAGGAGUCAAAUGCUUCUACCUAUACGGACAAGCUGUGAUGAGGAGGGAAAUAAUAGUACCGAAGCUUCUGAUGUCACACUGCCAAGAAAAGCUUCUAGUGAGAAAACAACGGCCCGUACCGCAAACCGACACAGGUAGUCGAGGAGAGAAUCCUAAGGUGAGCGAGAGAACUCUCGUUAAGGAACUCGGCAAAAUGACCCCGUAACUUCGGGAGAAGGGGUGCUGCUCUAACGAGCAGCCGCAGUGAAUAGGCCCAAGCGACUGUUUAUCAAAAACACAGGUCUCUGCAAAAUCGAAAGAUGACGUAUAGGGGCUGACGCCUGCCCGGUGCUGGAAGGUUAAGAGGAGUGCUUAGCGUAAGCGAAGGUACGAAUUGAAGCCCCAGUAAACGGCGGCCGUAACUAUAACGGUCCUAAGGUAGCGAAAUUCCUUGUCGGGUAAGUUCCGACCCGCACGAAAGGCGUAACGAUUUGGGCACUGUCUCAACGAGAGACUCGGUGAAAUUUUAGUACCUGUGAAGAUGCAGGUUACCCGCGACAGGACGGAAAGACCCCAUGGAGCUUUACUGUAGUUUGAUAUUGAGUGUCUGUACCGCAUGUACAGGAUAGGUAGGAGCCGUAGAGAUCGGGACGCCAGUUUCGAUGGAGGCAAUGGUGGGAUACUACCCUUGCGUUAUGGCCACUCUAACCCGCAGCCCUUAUCGGGCUGGGAGACAGUGUCAGAUGGGCAGUUUGACUGGGGCGGUCGCCUCCUAAAAGGUAACGGAGGCGCCCAAAGGUUCCCUCAGAAUGGUUGGAAAUCAUUCGAAGAGUGUAAAGGCAGAAGGGAGCUUGACUGCGAGAGCUACAACUCGAGCAGGGACGAAAGUCGGGCUUAGUGAUCCGGUGGUUCCGCAUGGAAGGGCCAUCGCUCAACGGAUAAAAGCUACCCUGGGGAUAACAGGCUUAUCUCCCCCAAGAG
RNAcentral lists this ribosomal RNA (2485 nucleotides) under Enterococcus sp. 5B3_DIV0040. RNAcentral's name for it is "bacterial LSU rRNA". It matches the Rfam family "Bacterial large subunit ribosomal RNA", at positions 1 to 2498 of the family's 2925-position model. Lineage: Bacteria; Bacillati; Bacillota; Bacilli; Lactobacillales; Enterococcaceae. The record is from RNAcentral.